Long non-coding RNA from Tupaia belangeri chinensis (Chinese tree shrew), 688 nucleotides. RefSeq lists it as uncharacterized. The record is from RefSeq and is a predicted model, not a curated record. The transcript is spliced from 2 exons. NCBI's taxonomy places the organism in Eukaryota, Metazoa, Chordata, Mammalia, Scandentia, Tupaiidae.
AGCACAAAACUACGCGCGGGACUUUCCGUAGUUCCCACGCGGGCGCACCGCGUUUACUUUCAUUCGUCUACCUAUCUUAUCUAUCACUAUAUAAAGAUUCGCGCGAAAUCUAGUGGAAUAUUCACUGCUGCCCUGAUUCUUCCCCUCUCGCGCAUCGCGUAAUUCCCGAGAACGCGGCUGUUCUCAGCCUGGACGCCUUGAAGUUGAGCCUUCAGGCCGCCGAGUCCCCGCCUCGCAGGGCGCGGCGCCUCCACCGGGGGCAGGAACUCGCUCCUGCGGGAGCGCGGGCGGCCACUGCGGCCUCUGCGCCUCCGCCGACCUCGGCCGCCCGGGACAGCGGCUGCUGCGAGAAGGGAAGGAGCCCGCCGGCCUGCAGCUUUGGAGCCAGCCGACCGACCCUGCCCCUGCGGCCCGGCUGUUCUGAAGGUGCUGCGCGGCUACCGGCGCGGGACCAAGGCCUCCCUGCGUAAAGACUGGGUCUCCUGAAGGCGGGGGUUUCGUACCCACGCCCAGGCACUACCCGCGCUUCCUGCCACCCGUAGGUGCUUCAGAAUUCCAGGCCCUGGGGGUGGAUUUGGCUCCUCCUGCACCGGAACCACCAAAAUCUCCAUUUGGGAUUUCCAGAGUGAACAAGCGCUUAGAGUCUUUUGAUAAAUGCUGGAUUUAAAACAUACAUUUUUGAGCCAUU